This 468-nucleotide ribosomal RNA is filed under the name uncultured bacterium. RNAcentral describes it as "partial 16S ribosomal RNA". It matches the Rfam family "Bacterial small subunit ribosomal RNA", at positions 28 to 507 of the family's 1533-position model. The record is from RNAcentral.
GACGAACGCUGGCGGCGUGCUUAACACAUGCAAGUCGAACGGAAAGGCCCUGCUUUUGUGGGGUGCUCGAGUGGCGAACGGGUGAGUAACACGUGAGUAACCUGCCCUUGACUUUGGGAUAACUUCAGGAAACUGGGGCUAAUACCGGAUAGGAGCUCCUGCUGCAUGGUGGGGGUUGGAAAGUUUCGGCGGUUGGGGAUGGACUCGCGGCUUAUCAGCUUGUUGGUGGGGUAGUGGCUUACCAAGGCUUUGACGGGUAGCCGGCCUGAGAGGGUGACCGGCCACAUUGGGACUGAGAUAGGGCCCAGACUCCUACGGGAGGCAGCAGUGGGGAAUAUUGCACAAUGGGCGGAAGCCUGAUGCAGCAACGCCGCGUGCGGGAUGACGGCCUUCGGGGUGUAAACCGCUUUCGCCUGUGACGAAGCGUGAGUGACGGUAAUGGGUAAAGAAGCACCGGCUAACUACGUG